GGAAUAUUGGACAAUGGGGGAAACCCUGAUCCAGCGACGCCGCGUGAGUGAACAAGUAUUUCGGUAUGUAAAGCUCUAUCAGCAGGAACGAAAAUGACGGUACCUGACUAAGAAGCCCCGGCUAACUACGUGCCAGCAGCCGCGGUAAUACGUAGGGGGCAAGCGUUAUCCGGAUUUACUGGGUGUAAAGGGAGCGUAGACGGAUUUGCAAGUCUGAAGUGAAAGCCCGCAGCUCAACUGCGGAACUGCUUUGGAAACUGUAGGUCUGGAGUGCAGGAGAGGUAAGCGGAAUUCCUAGUGUAGCGGUGAAAUGCGUAGAUAUUAGGAGGAACACCAGAGGCGAAGGCGGCUUACUGGACUGUAACUGACGUUGAGGCUCGAAGGCGUGGGGAGCAAACA
RNAcentral lists this ribosomal RNA (399 nucleotides) under uncultured bacterium. RNAcentral's name for it is "bacterial SSU rRNA". It matches the Rfam family "Bacterial small subunit ribosomal RNA", at positions 358 to 774 of the family's 1533-position model. The record is from RNAcentral.